UUCCAGACUCCUACGGGAGGCAGCAGUGAGGAAUAUUGGUCAAUGGGCGAGAGCCUGAACCAGCCAAGUCGCGUGAGGGGGUACUGCCCUAUGGGUUGUAAACCUCUUUUGUCGGGGAGCAAAAGCCGGACGUGUCCGGCUGUGAGAGUACCCGAAGAAAAAGCAUCGGCUAACUCCGUGCCAGCAGCCGCGGUAAUACGGAGGAUGCGAGCGUUAUCCGGAUUUAUUGGGUUUAAAGGGUGCGUAGGCGGACUGGAAAGUCAGCGGUAAAAUCGAGAGGCUCAACCUCUUUCCGCCGUUGAAACUGUCGGUCUUGAGUGGGCGAGAAGUAUGCGGAAUGCGUGGUGUAGCGGUGAAAUGCAUAGAUAUCACGCAGAACUCCGAUUGCGAAGGCAGCAUACCGGCGCCCGACUGACGCUGAGGCACGAAAGCGUGGGUAUCGAACAGGAUUAGAUACCCCCGUAGU
This 466-nucleotide ribosomal RNA is filed under the name uncultured bacterium. RNAcentral's name for it is "partial 16S ribosomal RNA". It matches the Rfam family "Bacterial small subunit ribosomal RNA", at positions 329 to 794 of the family's 1533-position model. The record is from RNAcentral.